CCUACGGGUGGCAGCAGGGAGGAAGAGUGGUCAAUGGGCGCGAGCCGGAACCAGCCAAGUAGCGUGAAGGAUGACUGCCCUACGGGUUGUAAACUUCUUUUAUAAAGGAAUAAAGUGAGGCACGUGGGCCUUUUUGUAUGUACUUUAUGAAUAAGGAUCGGCUAACUCCGUGCCAGCAGCCGCGGUAAUACGGAGGAUCCGAGCGUUAUCCGGAGUUAUUGGGUUUAAAGGGAGCGUAGAGGGGUUGUUAAGUCAGUUGUGAAAGUUUGCGGCGAAACCGUAAAAUUGCCAUUGAUACUUGCAGUCUUGCGUACAGUUGAGGUCGGCGGACUUCGUUGUGUAGCGG
This 346-nucleotide ribosomal RNA is filed under the name uncultured bacterium. Its description in RNAcentral is "partial 16S ribosomal RNA". It matches the Rfam family "Bacterial small subunit ribosomal RNA", at positions 338 to 681 of the family's 1533-position model. The record is from RNAcentral.